UCUGAGAAACUUGAUUCCUAAGCUCAAUUAGAUUCAUAAAACAUUCACAGACAUACACAGCACAAAAGAAACACAAGCUUUCCCAAGCAGCAUCAAGCAUUUAACCCCAAGGAAUAAUUUUCUACCUGAUGUAAGGCACAGUGCUCUACUUGGGAGAGGGACGUUCAGUGCUUCACCCCUGUAGUUUUGACUAGAAGAACUUUUCUAGAGCACCCAAGAAAUUCUUUAGGCAAGGAAAGGCCUGUAAAGACAGCGAGGAGCUGAUACACCACAGCUCUUAAAGAGGUGAGAAUGGAAAUCUUGAAAAUUUUCAGUAGCUUCACAGAGAAAAAGAAAACUGAAGGUCUUUUUACAUUAAUGAAAACCUGUAAGUUCAGAACAGAUAAUUAGCUCUGACAAGAGCCUGUCAAAGUAAUGGAUGAUCCUACUAAAACUUCCUCCAGUCCCACAGCCUGAAUCAGACCAAUGAGCCUUGGUAAUGACUUCAGAAAUAAAUGAAAAACCCAUCAUAUAGACAGAAAUCUUCUGACCUUCUCUGAAACAUGGCUCCCCAUGCAGUCAAUGGGUUUAUCACAUUAUCAGUCACUUUGUAUCAUUUGAUGGACUUCAAACUCCAGAUACAUAAAAAAGAAUAACCUCUGAGGAUGGGAAUGGUUUUUGCCAAUGCCAACAAUUUAGCUAAAUUCAAGACUUAAACUAUAAUAGCUAUUGUAAUAAUAAUACUAAUAUAUCAUGCCUGAGUUUUUAGUAGUCUUUUCUGGCUUUAAACUUUCAGCAAGGAUAAAAUUGUGGAAAACUUCAGACUAAGAAAAAGCAAAUCUCACUUGACUCAAGUCAAGACCAUCUACCAUAAAAAGUAUGUUUUAGAAAAAAAUACCAGGAAAUUAGAAGUCUGAACUGAACUUAUGUUGUAAAAACUUUACUUUCACAGGGAGUCUGCUUUUCUGAUUUGAUUAUGAGCAUUGUAGAAAGCAUGCAGAAGGCAUCAGCUUUGCUCCCUUUUUCAUUUCUCCCAGAAGCUUAUCCGAUUUUGUGUAAAGGCUGGAAAGGGAGCAAUAUAAGACAUUCAAAAGCAUAAAUAGAAUUUAAAUUAUAAUGUCCAAAGUUGUUUUCUAUUUUGAAAUAGAACUAAGUUACAGCUAUAAUGGAAAUAUCUUUAAAAACUGAGCAUUCAAGAUUUUGCAGUGUAUCAGCUUUAACUAAAAUCUGCACAGAUCAAGCUUCUGAUAAUUUCUUCCACCUCCAUAAACCAAAUUAGUUGUGUCCCAGUGUAGAGCAAGCAUUUGAAAUUAAGCUUAACUCUGUUUCCCAGUUUCUCUGUUCUUUCUGAGGCUCAACAAGAAGCAACAGAGGAGAUGACAUCUCAUAAUCUGAAAAACCACAGGAACUUUCCUUAGCAUUAUUGAUUUAGCAUUGCAUUUACAAAUUAGUGCUCCUGCUCCCUGGCAAUACAUCCCCACCUAAUUCAAUUCUGUUCAUCAAGCAUGUUAGAUAUCAAACAAGUAAUGUACAAAAGCAGACCUUUUUUCGGGUUAGAAACUACUUCAACAGCAGCCAGCAAACUAAAAAUAAAACAAAAAUGAAAAUUUAGGAGUCUUUCCUUCCCAAAGCAGGAGAUUCCAAGUGCUUCACACAAAUGUCAGAACUUAGAAUAUUCAGAUGUACUAGUGAAAAAGUAUGAAAUUCUGUCUGCUUUUACCUAGUCCUUUAAAACAGGAGGGAAAAUUACCUCUCCAGUUAUCCUCUGUUAGUGCCUGUUCUUCCAAAAUGACUUUUUUGUUUUAUAAAACUUCCUUUUCCCUUUACCCUUCCUCUUCCCCUUUUCCUUGCCUUUUCCCUUCUUUUCAUAAUGCAGAAGUUCUGUGAGAAGUGUUCCUAAUGCAAACCAGCCACAAGAAGAAUGCCUGCAAGCAUCAUAGUGCCUUGCUGCAGUGUGCCAACAGAGAGGAGGUUUUUUCUAGCUUCCACAGGAGACGUGGAAUAAAAUGAAAUUUCCCAUUUGGUGAGGGACUCCAUGGAGUCCUAAUGAUUCUUUCUGCUAUGAGAAGGAUUUUUCCCCUGCAGCCUGAUAUGCAGUACAGUUGCUGAGAAGAAGAGGUAAGGGCUGAAGUAAAAAAUAGCAUGAACAUACAUGAAAAGGAACUCUAUACCUGAUGUUUAAAAAGAUCAUUAAGUGAUCGGGCUUUUACUGUCUCUAAACUCAGGAAAUAUAUAUCUUUUAAGACCUAAAAAGGUGUUACUGUAAUUAGAACAAUAUAACCUCAUAAACUACACUGGCAUAUAACCACAUUAUUCUUCAUUUGUCUAAUCUGACAUUAAGCUACUGUUUUGCUAUAUUUUGUUAGAAAAGCUGUGUUCUUGUCUGUGAAUAAAAUGAGCAGAGGUAAAGCAGAAACGCAACCAAUAUUCAGUACUAAUACACUGAAGCAAAAGGGAAAAUUUGAAAGCCCUAUUAAACACAAAGGAAAUGAUCAAAAAUGUCCAUUCAUCACUGAUGUAUGUGAAACUGAUUAAUAGCUGAUGCCACUGCUCUUGAAUCUCUCAGAUCAGAUAAGAAAUGGUCUUAGAACACGAUUGACAAACUCACAGCAGCAAUCUUUUCACAAACUGAAUAUGCAAUAGACAGUUCAAGUGCUAAGAAGCUCUAAACAACCAAACUGUUGUUUCAAAAAUAAACCUUUAAGAACUUCAUUAAUUUAAAUUUUAUAACUCUAGUAGAUGUUGCAUUUCCACAGAUUAUCUCAUCACUAAGAUAUUAGCAUCAUUAAAGUGUUAUUAAAACCAAUUUUUUAAAAAAUUUGAAAACCACUGUAGUUUCCAAAACCAGUGUGAUUUCCAAAACUGAAGCAGAUCUCUGCUAUACAUAUAAUUUUCUUGCAACUUUGUGGCACUACAGGGAUCACAGUGGUGGCCUUGAAACUAAACUUGUUCUCUACUUUUCAGUGUUUAUUUUGUGGCUGCUCAUUCUGCCUGAACAGAAGCAUCCUGAUAUUUUGAUACUUUUUUAAGAAUCUUCAGAUUUUGACAAGGACGUCAGGGAAGAACUAGCGUAUUCUAGAUUUUAUUGAAAUCAAUCCAGAUUUUCACAAUCAUCAAGACCAUCAUUGAAAGUCCUUGUUUAGCAUGAUUAGAUAGAAAUGCUUCUAAAAUUACUCUUUGCUCAAUAAAAACUGGGCAUAUUUUUGAGAACUUACUUCUGUUGGCAUGUAACUGAUUUUCCAGAAGAGAUGCAGACAGGUUAACUUCAUGUUUAGCAACUAUCAUCUGACUGUUUUGUAAUUAUGGACUAUGGAAAAUACAGUAAAAAGGAAAAAAAACCAUGUAUUCAAUAUUGUACUAAUAUUAAUAAUGUGUUCUUGGUGACAUUUUUGUUCAUUACAUUACAUUAGCAAUAAAACCAUAUGAUCUAUUAUUAGAACCUAUAUGUCUGACACGAUGGGCACAGGUUGCCUCCUGUUAAUUGCACUACCUCCAAGAAAGCAUCUCUGGAAGUUAAUGCAGUUCGUAACCUGACCUGUGACAUGUAUGCAUAUGCAACCCGCUAUUUCCAUGUACUAUGACUAGCAGCUGGUACACUGCGGAUAACAGGUCACAGCAAACUCUAAUAAAUAAUUCUCUAAAAGAAGUACUAGAAAUCUGGAGAGCUUUUGUGCCCUGAAGAUCAAUGAUCCAAGUUCAAAUGAUAUCGAUGAGGGCAUUAUAGUGGAGAAAAUGGACAAGAUGAUUACACAACUGAUGAAUGACUGGCAAACAAAUUCAUAAAAGACAAAACCAUUGUUGAAGGAACAAGCUUUAGCAAAUAGUUUCCUUAAUUUCGAUAGGUUUGAAACUUGUUAACCUCUACUGUUUUAGUUUGACAUAUAUUUGUAUUCCUUCUUGUCCUGGUUUGAGCCAGGAUUAAGCCAAUUUUUCUUUUCACUGAUUUUUUUUUCCUUCAGUAAGCUUUCUUUUAACUAGCAACUGUGUGUUCUGCUAGGCUGAUAAGACAGUGGAAUGUUUUUCUAACUACUGAGGUUUCAAGGUUACACCUUCACUCCGCCGGCUCAGACACUAUGGGGAGAUCUCUGACCCCCCCGUGGGAGGCUGAGUUAGACAGACAGCAAAAUUGGCCAAAGAUAUUCCAUUCCAUAUAUCUACGUAAGCUCAGAGGAAGGACAGAGAUCUUAGAAGACAGCUUCCUCCCUCUUCUCGCCCUCUCUUCAGUCCAUGGCCGGCGUCCGGGGAGGACUCUGCUCAUCCAUCACCGCCGACCCUUAGGCUCGAGCUCUCCUGGCCCUCAUAACUCUCCGCUUUCUCCAGCAGCGGCUCCGGGAUUUCUCGGGACUCUUGCCAGUUCAGGGGAGUGCUGUGGGAGUUGCUGGGGGUGGGGGGAGGCGAGAGGCUUUUGCCCAUAUCUGAAUAUAUAUCUGUAUAUAAUUGUAUAUAUUUUCUUGUGUGAUUCAUUAGUGUUUUAAUUAAAGCUGUGUAGUUUAGUUUUCAA
Molecule: long non-coding RNA, 4480 nt
Organism: Apus apus (common swift)
Lineage: Eukaryota; Metazoa; Chordata; Aves; Apodiformes; Apodidae
Exons: 4
Source: RefSeq, a predicted model, not a curated record